AUUGAUUUUAUGCUUGCAUAAAUGAUUUUUGGAUUCGGAGCGAGUGGCGAACUGGUGAGUAACACGUGGGUAACCUGCCCCGAAGCGGGGGAUAACAUUUGGAAACAAAUGCUAAUACCGCAUAAUUAGUCAGAACCGCAUGGUUCCGACUUGAAAGAUGGCUCUGCUAUCACUUCGGGAUGGACCCGCGCCGUAUUAGUUAGUUGGUGAGAUAAAAGCCCACCAAGACGAUGAUACGUAGCCGACCUGAGAGGGUAAUCGGCCACAUUGGGACUGAGACACGGCCCAGACUCCUACGGGAGGCAGCAGUAGGGAAUCUUCCACAAUGGACGAAAGUCUGAUGGAGCAACGCCGCGUGAGUGAUGAAGGGUUUCGGCUCGUAAAACUCUGUUGUUAAAGAAGAACAAGCAUGAGAGUAACUGUUCAUGCUUUGACGGUAUUUAACCAGAAAGCCACGGCUAACUACGUGCCAGCAGCCGCGGUAAUACGUAGGUGGCAAGCGUUGUCCGGAUUUAUUGGGCGUAAAGCGAGCGCAGGCGGUUUUGUAAGUCUGCUGUGAAAGCCCUCAGCUCAACUGAGGAAGUGCAGUGGAAACUACAAAACUUGAGUACAGAAGAGGAAAGUGGAACUCCAUGUGUAGCGGUGAAAUGCGUAGAUAUAUGGAAGAACACCAGUGGCGAAGGCGGCUUUCUGGUCUGUUACUGACGCUGAGGCUCGAAAGCAUGGGUAGCGAACAGGAUUAGAUACCCUGGUAGUCCAUGCCGUAAACGAUGAAUACUAGGUGUUGGAGGGUUUCCGCCCUUCAGUGCCGCAGCUAACGCAUUAAGUAUUCCGCCUGGGGAGUACGACCGCAAGGUUGAAACUCAAAGGAAUUGACGGGGGCCCGCACAAGUGGUGGAGCAUGUGGUUUAAUUCGAUGCUGCGCGAAGAACCUUACCAGCUCUUGACAUCUUCUGCCAACCUAAGAGAUUAGGCGUUCCCUUCGGGGACAGAAUGACAGGUGGUGCAUGGUUGUCGUCAGCUCGUGUCGUGAGAUGUUGGGUUAAGUCCCGCAACGAGCGCAACCCUUAUUAUUAGUUGCCAGCAUUUAGUUGGGCACUCUAGUGAGACUGCCGGUGAUAAA
RNAcentral lists this ribosomal RNA (1123 nucleotides) under uncultured bacterium. Its description in RNAcentral is "bacterial SSU rRNA". It matches the Rfam family "Bacterial small subunit ribosomal RNA", at positions 47 to 1162 of the family's 1533-position model. The record is from RNAcentral.